AAACCAACCGGGAUUGCCCCAGUAACGGCGAGUGAAGCGGCAAGAGCUCAGAUUUGAAAUCUGCUACCUGAUGGUAGCCGAGUUGUAGCGUGUAGAGUGCUGUCCCGGAUGUGCGGCGCUGCCUAGGUUCCCUGGAAGGGGACGCCGGAGAGGGUGAGAGCCCCGUGAGGCGGUGGACACGCGGCAUCCGUGUGGGAGGGCGCUCGAGGAGUCGAGUUGUUUGGGAAUGCAGCUCCAAGUGGGUGGUAAACUCCAUCUAAAGCUAAAUACAGGCGAGAGACCGAUAGCGAACAAGUACAGUGAUGGAAAGAUGAAAAGCACUUUGAAAAGAGAGUGAAACAGCACGUGAAAUUGUUGAAAGGGAAGGGCAGCUGCUCAGACAUGGCAGGUUGCGUCCCCUGCUCCCUGUGGGCGGGGGGUUCCACGCGGCGUGCUGGGCCAGCAUCAGUUUUGGCGGCAGGAGAAAACGGGCGGGAACGUAGCCGCGUCCCUGUGGGCGUGGUGUUAUAGCUCGCCUGGGAAUGCUUGCCAGCCGGGACUGAGGGAGGCGACACUUGUUGUCACGGAUGCUGGCAUAAUGGGUAGGUGCCGC
This 592-nucleotide ribosomal RNA is filed under the name Cyniclomyces guttulatus. RNAcentral describes it as "eukaryotic LSU rRNA". It matches the Rfam family "Eukaryotic large subunit ribosomal RNA", at positions 62 to 648 of the family's 3401-position model. Lineage: Eukaryota; Fungi; Ascomycota; Saccharomycetes; Saccharomycetales; Saccharomycetaceae. The record is from RNAcentral.